Molecule: small nucleolar RNA, 99 nt
Filed under: Numida meleagris (helmeted guineafowl)
Lineage: Eukaryota; Metazoa; Chordata; Aves; Galliformes; Numididae
Description: Z30 small nucleolar RNA (ENSNMEG00000015093.1)
Rfam family: Z30 small nucleolar RNA
About the family: Z30 belongs to the C/D class of snoRNA which contain the C (UGAUGA) and D (CUGA) box motifs. Most of the members of the box C/D family function in directing site-specific 2'-O-methylation of substrate RNAs.
Source: RNAcentral
AAGCAAUGAUGAGUGAAGUAUUCUCUGAACUGGUAUUGCUGAGACUUUUUUGUCUUUGCUCUGACCAGGGCAUGAUCACGUAAUCUUCUCUCUGAGCUU